GAGGCUUAACACAUGCAAGUCGAGGGGCAGCAUUUCAUUUUGCUUGCAAACUGGAGAUGGCGACCGGCGCACGGGUGAGUAACACGUAUCCAACCUGCCGAUAACUCGGGGAUAGCCUUUCGAAAGAAAGAUUAAUACCCGAUGGUAUAAUCAGACCGCAUGGUCUUGUUAUUAAAGAAUUUCGGUUAUCGAUGGGGAUGCGUUCCAUUAGGCAGUUGGUGAGGUAACGGCUCACCAAACCUUCGAUGGAUAGGGGUUCUGAGAGGAAGGUCCCCCACAUUGGAACUGAGACACGGUCCAAACUCCUACGGGAGGCAGCAGUGAGGAAUAUUGGUCAAUGGGCGCAGGCCUGAACCAGCCAAGUAGCGUGAAGGAUGACUGCCCUAUGGGUUGUAAACUUCUUUUAUAUGGGAAUAAAGUUUUCCACGUGUGGAAUUUUGUAUGUACCAUAUGAAUAAGGAUCGGCUAACUCCGUGCCAGCAGCCGCGGUAAUACGGAGGAUCCGAGCGUUAUCCGGAUUUAUUGGGUUUAAAGGGAGCGUAGGUGGACAGUUAAGUCAGUUGUGAAAGUUUGCGGCUCAACCGUAAAAUUGCAGUUGAUACUGGCUGUCUUGAGUACAGUAGAGGUGGGCGGAAUUCGUGGUGUAGCGGUGAAAUGCUUAGAUAUCACGAAGAACUCCGAUUGCGAAGGCAGCUCACUGGACUGCAACUGACACUGAUGCUCGAAAGUGUGGGUAUCAAACAGGAUUAGAUACCCUGGUAGUCCACACAGUAAACGAUGAAUACUCGCUGUUUGCGAUAUACAGUAAGCGGCCAAGCGAAAGCAUUAAGUAUUCCACCUGGGGAGUACGCCGGCAACGGUGAAACUCAAAGGAAUUGACGGGGGCCCGCACAAGCGGAGGAACAUGUGGUUUAAUUCGAUGAUACGCGAGGAACCUUACCCGGGCUUAAAUUGCAUUUGAAUAUAUUGGAAACAGUAUAGCCGUAAGGCAAAUGUGAAGGUGCUGCAUGGUUGUCGUCAGCUCGUGCCGUGAGGUGUCGGCUUAAGUGCCAUAACGAGCGCAACCCUUAUCUUUAGUUACUAACAGGUCAUGCUGAGGACUCUAGAGAGACUGCCGUCGUAAGAUGUGAGGAAGGUGGGGAUGACGUCAAAUCAGCACGGCCCUUACGUCCGGGGCUACACACGUGUUACAAUGGGGGGUACAGAAGGCAGCUACCUGGUGACAGGAUGCUAAUCCCAAAAGCCUCUCUCAGUUCGGAUCGAAGUCUGCAACCCGACUUCGUGAAGCUGGAUUCGCUAGUAAUCGCGCAUCAGCCAUGGCGCGGUGAAUACGUUCCCGGGCCUUGUACACACCGCCCGUCAAGCCAUGAAAGCCGGGGGUACCUGAAGUACGUAACCGCAAGGAGCGUCCUAGGGUAAAACUGGUAAUUGGGGC
Molecule: ribosomal RNA, 1435 nt
Filed under: uncultured organism
Description: SSU rRNA
Rfam family: Bacterial small subunit ribosomal RNA
Source: RNAcentral